UGAGCAAUCUGCCCUUCUCUUUGGAAUAAGCGUUGGAAACGACGUCUAAUGCCGAAUACGACCUCCUUUCGCAUGAUCGGAGGUGGAAAGCUCCGGCGGAGAAGGAUGAGCUCGCGGCCUAUCAGCUAGUUGGUGUGGGUAAUGGCCCACCAAGGCGACGACGGGUAGCCGGCCUGAGAGGGUCGACCCGGCCACACGUGGGACUGAGACACCGGCCCAGACCUCCCGUACGGGGAGG
RNAcentral lists this ribosomal RNA (238 nucleotides) under uncultured bacterium. Its description in RNAcentral is "partial 16S ribosomal RNA". It matches the Rfam family "Bacterial small subunit ribosomal RNA", at positions 118 to 347 of the family's 1533-position model. The record is from RNAcentral.